GACGAACGCUGGCGGCGUGCCUAAUACAUGCAAGUCGAACGCAUUUUCUUUCACCGUAGCUUGCUACACCGAAAGAAACUGAUUGGCGAACGGGUGAGUAACACGUGUGUAACCUGCCCAUCAGCGGGGGAUAACACUUGGAAACAGGUGCUAAUACCGCAUAAUUCCAUUUACCGCAUGGAAAAUGGAUGAAUGGCGCUUUUGCCUCACUGUUUCAUGGUCCCGCGGUGCAUUAGCUAGUUGGUGGGGUAACGGCCUACCAAGGCUGCGAUGCAUAGCCGCCCGGAGUGGGUGAUCGGCCACACUGGGAGUGAGACACGGCCCAGACGCCUACGGGAGGCAGCAGUAGGGAAUCGGCGGCAAUGGACGCAAGUCUGACCGAGAAACGCGGCGUGAGUGAAGAAGGUUUUCGGAUCGUAAAUCUCUGUUGUUAGGGAAGAACAAGGAUGAGAGUGGAAAGUUCAUCCCUUGACGGUAUCUAACCAGAAAGCCACGGCUAACUACGUG
This 507-nucleotide ribosomal RNA is filed under the name uncultured bacterium. RNAcentral describes it as "partial 16S ribosomal RNA". It matches the Rfam family "Bacterial small subunit ribosomal RNA", at positions 28 to 507 of the family's 1533-position model. The record is from RNAcentral.